CUGGUUUCGUGUUGUUGUGAUGGACGGGAGAACCUUUUCAUUCAAAAUAUAACGUUUGUGGGUCAAAGAAAGAAUGGAUUACCUGGUGUAUUUAGCCCAAUGCGUCUUUCCAGCUUCCCCAUCCAUACUGCAGAAAAGUAUCUGCAAAGUUAAAUUUUGAUAUCAUCUGGCUAGUCUAACAGCUUGGAAGUAAGAUGUAAGUGUAUCAUUUGUAUAUUUUGUAACUAAAUAAACAUGAUUAUUACAUACUUACAUGUUUAUUGUCCUCUCCCAUCAUGAUUUUGUAACAUUCAUUCAGUAAUGCUCCAAUAUUUAUGCAUAUCUUCACACAAAUUUAAGAAACUGGUGCAUAUCAGGGAAAGCAGAGUAUGAUCCUGACGUAAAGACAUCCCAGUAGGCAAAUACUGGUGUGUACACACAAAAAAACCCCAACACAUUUUGAAUCAGGGGAAAAUCUGACUACUUACGCACGGCCUUGGAAGCAGAAAACAAAACAAAGUCAUGAUAAAGUGCUUGAGAAAGUAUUUUGUGCACUUUAUUGAACAUUGCGCAUCUGCAGUUUACAUGUCGACAACCUUGAAACUGUAUAAACAGGUUUACAAUAUUGUAAAAGAUGAAAUAUUUAAUCUGGUUUAAUUCUUAUGUACAGACAAUAACUGUAAGAAGCACAAGGGGAGAGAUGCAAGACGGUGUCCUUUUAAUAGCAAAGAACCCCUUUACUCUGUAUUGCACACUUUCUUGUAACCAGAGUAUGUUGAACAGUAAUAAAGGUAAUACUCUCCAAACAAUAGGCCCACAUACUCACUCGCAGCACAACCCUUUUCAUUCAGCUCCGCUGGAUUACACACUUCUUAUAUAGUACUCUAAACAGAUUCUAGUCAUUAAAAUAUGUGCUUACUUCAUUAAAAUAUUUAUUUGUCGACACGUUUUGCUACAUCAUAUCUCUGCUGGAAUGAGCAUGGCCUCCGUCCCUCUCCCGUAUUUCAUGGCCAAGUCGAACCAAGCAAAGACGGAAAAAGAGCUUGUUUGGUUUCAGUCGUGUUUUUGGCCUACAGACUUUCAGAGACUUCAAAUCAUUUUCUAGGGUUUGAUGCAUUUUGCCUCUUGUUUGCCAGAACUUUUAAAGACAACCAAAAAAAGAGGUCUUAAUCAAUAUGCAAUAAAUGUGAAUCCAUUUUCCUGUUAUUACAAACACUUUAAAAGAAUUAAAAAUGUAAAAAUGUGUGAAAAAAAAGUAAACACCAACAGGCUGCUUCUUAUGCAUAUAGGCAAAUACUUAUAAUUGUCAAUGACAGUAAUCCUUCACGAACAGCUUUAGGUUAACGAUUGCAGAUCUCACCAUUAUUAAAAAAAUUUAAAUAAAGAGCUUAAUCAUUUAGAGCAACAACAAUUUCAGUUUAUGAAGAAGCUUCUGGAGACACUUCAAACCAAGGCAAAACAGAAGAAGUUUGGAUGGGAAGAGAGAAAGAGAAAUGAUUGAUAUUAAUUUGAAACAAUGAGACUACUCUUGGCUUAUCCAUAUGUAAUAAAGAAAAAAGAAACAGGAAAAAAGUCUGUGAAAUAAAAUAUGCGGUCAAGAAAUUUGAGGUGAGAAACUCAGUAUAAACUGGGAAUAAUAUUUUUAAAACUUUUACUCCAAACUCUUGUGUGAAAUCCAUUUCCUCCUCCACCCAAAAAUCAUAGAACAACUAACCAGUGUGUAAACUUGGUGUGACGGAACAACUAUGAGAGUUACAAAGGAGAAGAAAAAAGAGGGAAAAUAAAUGAAUGGUAGAAAGCAUCAAUCUCAUAUGCAUGAGGAUCAGUAUCACCCCCAAAUCACUUUCUUUACAGCAACAUCCCAGCCCCCGCGCAGUGAAACUAUGUGGUCAACGGAUACUCUACCCAGGAAAUAGGCCUAGCUCUGUCUGUCUGUACCAGGUUUAUGUUUAUUGGAGAAAAACAUUGUUUAUGUGCUCGAGAUAAGGUUCUGCUUUGUUUCUGCAAGUAUGUCUCGUGGCAUUUCACAUGUAUCCAAAUGACAGAAAAACAGACAUGUUGGCUUGCUCUACCUGCAGUCUGUCGCUGGGUGUAUUUAAAAUGCCAGUGUGUUUUACCAGCAUUCAAGGCAGAGAGUUUCGUAUAAAGUUGGUGCAACAAAAAAAUAUGGUGGUAAAAUAUGAUGCGCAAAAACAGAAAAGGAUAUGUGAGAAUUAUAAAACAGAA
Xiphophorus couchianus (Monterrey platyfish) is the source of this 2205-nucleotide long non-coding RNA. RefSeq lists it as uncharacterized. The transcript is spliced from 2 exons. NCBI's taxonomy places the organism in Eukaryota, Metazoa, Chordata, Actinopteri, Cyprinodontiformes, Poeciliidae. The record is from RefSeq and is a predicted model, not a curated record.